GCAAAAGUGUGGCGACCGAUAAUAAUUAUGCCUAGAAAAAGGAAGCCUAAAUUUACCCUUAGUCAAUCUUUCAAUGGCUGGAAACCAUUAAGCCUCUUGUCUUUUCAUUUCACCCGUCCCAUCUGCUCUAUCCGUCUAACGAUUGCAUUGCCCAAUGUUUUCUUUCUUUGCUAUCUACUUUUAAAACAAAAUCUCCUAUUAUCUUCUUAAUUGUUCUGUGAUACCACCAUUAUGGCGAUUCAUCUCUACAUCCUCCAGGUAAGCUAUUUCACUUCUCUUCAAUGUUUCAUUCGUAAUAUUGUGAGAGCACUCAUGUUCUUCAUUUUUUGGAUGUGCCUGAACUCUAUCUUCUAGAAGCACGAUUUCUUAGCUUGAAUGUCUCUGAUAAUUGCUCCAAUAACUAAAUAAUCGAUUAUGGUUGAUUGGCAUUUCUUUAUCACUGUUAGUGAAUUUGCCUGUAUUUGUAUUUCCUGAAAGUCCAUUUCGAUUCCUAACUUAACUGCUUCUAAUCCUGCAUAUGCUUCUGCUGCAAACGGAGAUGCAAUAUUAUAAUGAAGAAUCGGUUUUGAGGCCAAGUACUCGUUCGUCGUUCCCCAAACCACCAGCCCAGUCGCUGAUCUGAAGUUUCUGGUAUCAAACACAGAAUCAAACUAGAUUUUUAUACUCGGUAGGUUCUCUACAGUUCUUUGAUUAUACACCAUAUUCGAUAGGCUCUUCUUUGCUCUAACCCCUUCAUAUUUUGCUAUGUGGUUCUGGACUUUUUGUGCGAGAUCUUUGUCUGUUGAGUAUAAUCUUUCAUGUGUAAGCUGAUUCCUUGAGUACCAAAGCAACAAUAAAGUAUAACAAAAAUAUCUGCACUGUUCAUCUGUUCAUUGUUUGAAAACUGCGUUGACAAGAAUAACCCUACUCAAGACUACAUAACAGGCUGAAUUCGGGUUUAGCUCAGUUUGGGUUGAAUUCCAAUAUGUAUAUGAAGAUUGUAAGGCAAGAAAUUAUAUAUAGUUUUUCAACUCACCUCAGGCAUUUCAUCUGUUGAUAACUUUGAUGUCCCUGCUUUGGGAAAUUUUGUUACAUCAACAUAGUUGGAUCUACCUGUUUGCCCCAUAGCUUCUAUUCUUUUAACCUUCCUUAUUACUCCCUGUAAGCUCUCAACUCUAUCUAUCAAUGGCAUCACGGCCAGGUCGAAAACGCCGCCAUAAAGCCGAAGCCUAAGUCUAUCACUUCCCCAACAACCACCCUGUGUUGAACGUAUAAUGCUUGUCAUGUUGUUGAUCAUGGCUUAUGCUUCUCCUAAACAGUCGAGCGAAAAGAUUAAUGAGGACUGCCAACGGCCAAAACGCUUCAAUUUAAAAAAGGAGUCGUCUACAUGGGGAAGGGAUGAACAUGCACCCUUGAAAACACAGAGACGUGUGGUCAGGAUCUAUAGAUAUUCAGGUAUUGGUUUGUUUGUAAUUGCAAUUCAUAAUAUAUAUGGUGGAUAUGUUUCUUAUGGUAAACGUCAGUAUCCUCAGUUUUGUUCCUUUCUUCACUCUUUUGAUGUUUGAAGGCUGCCAUUGGCAUCUUGUCCUAGAAGAUGUUGAAGUUUAAUUAUUAUGUGUUUAAAAUAUUCAUUUAUCUCUAUUUGUUUUUAAA
Gossypium arboreum is the source of this 1632-nucleotide long non-coding RNA. RefSeq lists it as uncharacterized. NCBI's taxonomy places the organism in Eukaryota, Viridiplantae, Streptophyta, Magnoliopsida, Malvales, Malvaceae. The transcript has 3 exons. The record is from RefSeq and is a predicted model, not a curated record.